RNAcentral lists this ribosomal RNA (253 nucleotides) under uncultured bacterium. Its description in RNAcentral is "partial 16S ribosomal RNA". It matches the Rfam family "Bacterial small subunit ribosomal RNA", at positions 524 to 776 of the family's 1533-position model. The record is from RNAcentral.
UACGUAGGGGGCAAGCGUUGUCCGGAAUCAUUGGGCGUAAAGCGCACGUAGGCGGUUCGUUAAGUCGGAUGUGAAAGCCCUCGGCUCAACUGAGGAAGUGCACCCGAAACUGGCGAGCUUGAGUACGAAAGAGGAUCGCGGAAUUCCCGGUGUAGAGGUGAAAUUCGUAGAUAUCGGGAGGAACGCCGGUGGCGAAGGCGGCGAUCUGGGUCGAUACUGACGCUGAGGUGCGAAAGCGUGGGGAGCAAACAGG